This 254-nucleotide ribosomal RNA is filed under the name uncultured bacterium. RNAcentral's name for it is "partial 16S ribosomal RNA". It matches the Rfam family "Bacterial small subunit ribosomal RNA", at positions 524 to 776 of the family's 1533-position model. The record is from RNAcentral.
UACGAAGGGGGCGAGCGUUGUUCGGAUUUACUGGGCGUAAAGGGCGCGUAGGCGGCCCUCCUAGUCGCGUGUGAAAGCCCCGGGCUCAACCUGGGAAUUGCGCGCGAAACGGGGGGGGCUUGAGUUCGGGAGAGGUGAGUGGAAUUCCCAGUGUAGCGGUGAAAUGCGUAGAUAUUGGGAGGAACACCAGUGGCGAAGGCGGCUCACUGGACCGGAACUGACGCUGAGGCGCGAAAGCGUGGGGAGCAAACGGG